UUUAUGGAGAUGUGUCAAGUGCUGGAAGAGUUGUCCUGCAAAACACAAGCCAUCACUGUUCUGCACUGCAGCAAUAAUUAUGGAGACUCAAGUUGUCCAGAUUCUGCUGUUGUGUAUUGUGUCCACCUGCUGGGGACAGCAAGCCUCACUGACCCCCUGGGCCCAUGGGAUCCUAUCGUCACCACUAACAAUAUGGAGAUCCACAUCACUGACGUUGGAGAAGAUGGUAGUCUGCCCUCUCCGGCUCGCCUGUCACAUUGACCUCACUACCUAGUAUGAGAUCAGGUGGCUUAUACUGCACCGGAUGUGGAAAUGCCCUAAUUUUUGUUAUUUUCCCUAAGCUAACCCAAACCCCUCCCUCUUCAAAAUAACAUCCGGUGCCGUAUAUGCCACCUGACCCGGACCCGUAUGGCUGAGAACAAUGGUCAGGGAGGACUGGGACAGUGGACAUAUCCUGAUGGGAGUGUGUUACUGAACACUGCUGCAUCAUACCAACUCAACCUGGCCACGUGUUCACCUUCUUCAUGAGUUCAUGAAACUACCUAUCCCCCUCCCCCUACAAUUGCACCAGAUGUUCUGGUAAUCUCCAGGCCAUUUAAUGGUGGAUCCAGACCAGUGGCCUCGGAUGCAGCCAGUUACAAGUGCUUCAAUCCCACAAAAAUUAAUACCGACCACCAUGUUGGUUUCAUACACUCUGAUUGGAGUGUCAGUCAGUUAGGACUUGUGGGAGUUAUGGAGCUCAUCAACAGCUGCAGUGUAUGGUCAUUAAUUGAUGUGGCACUAUAAGAGCUGCAUGGUGACUGUGGGUAUACCCAUAUAAUAUAGGCCCUUAUAUGGGAAGAUUCAGACGAGGACCUCUAUACUUAUAUGGAAUGAACUCAUGCUGGACUGUUGGAGGAGGAAUCAAGUGGAUUGCUCUGUCAUCCAUGAGAAGCUGGCCUAUUCAUGAGUUCAUAAUUAGUUUGAUUGUCAUGUUGCUUCUUUAAUAUACCACAUGCAUGCAUGCUUGAGCUACAUCAUAUUAUACAUAUUACAUGCAUGUAUGUACGUACAUGUGUCUCUUUAUAUGCAUGGCUCUCUAUGGCUCUAUGUAUAAUUAUAAUUAUGAUCAUUUGUGUGCUAUUUUCACUGCAGAAUCUGUUGGCCGGUCGCUCAAUCAAUUACUGUUCUAUAAUUAUAGCACUAACACUCAUCAUGACACUCCAAACCUUUUAUUGAUCGUUUUUCAAUCACGCUUCAUCUAUUUUUUUGACCGUGUAUAGUUAGUUUUUUCUUCAGUGUCUCAGUCAUCUCUCUUGUUAUCUUAUCAAGCUAGUCUAUAUAGGACCCACAUGAAAAGCCACAACUUUGUGGAUGUGGUAUUCCUAAUAUUAUCUAUCUAUCAAGUCGUGUUACACAUUUGGACUUGAAAUUUUAA
Molecule: long non-coding RNA, 1417 nt
Organism: Halichondria panicea
Lineage: Eukaryota; Metazoa; Porifera; Demospongiae; Suberitida; Halichondriidae
Exons: 5
Source: RefSeq, a predicted model, not a curated record